This 496-nucleotide ribosomal RNA is filed under the name uncultured bacterium. RNAcentral describes it as "partial 16S ribosomal RNA". It matches the Rfam family "Bacterial small subunit ribosomal RNA", at positions 29 to 523 of the family's 1533-position model. The record is from RNAcentral.
AUUGAACGCUGGCGGUAUGCCUUACACAUGCAAGUCGAACGGUAGAGGGGAAACCCUUGAGAGUGGCGAACGGGUGAGUAAUACAUCGGAACGUGCCCAGUCGUGGGGGAUAACGUAGCGAAAGCUACGCUAAUACCGCAUACGACCCGAGGGUGAAAGCGGGGGACUCGCAAGGGCCUCGCGCGAUUGGAGCGGCCGAUGGCAGAUUAGGUAGUGGGUGGGGUAAAGGCCCACCAAGCCUGCGAUCUGUAGCUGGUCUGAGAGGACGACCAGCCACACUGGGACUGAGACACGGCCCAGACUCCUACGGGAGGCAGCAGUGGGGAAUUUUGGACAAUGGGCGAAAGCCUGAUCCAGCCAUACCGCGUGCGGGAAGAAGGCCUUCGGGUUGUAAACCGCUUUUGUCAGGGAAGAAAUCUUCUGGGUUAAUACCUCGGGAGGAUGACGGUACCUGAAGAAUAAGCACCGGCUAACUACGUGCCAGCCGCCGCGGUAA